Molecule: ribosomal RNA, 889 nt
Filed under: uncultured bacterium
Lineage: Bacteria
Description: bacterial SSU rRNA
Rfam family: Bacterial small subunit ribosomal RNA
Source: RNAcentral
AGAGUUUGAUCCUGGCUCAGAUUGAACGCUGGCGGAAUGCUUUACACAUGCAAGUCGAACGGUAGAGGGGGCAACCCCUUGAGAGUGGCGAACGGGUGAGUAAUGUAUCGGAACGUGCCCAGUCGUGGGGGAUAACGUAGUGAAAAUUACGCUAAUACCGCAUACGAUCUAUGGAUGAAAGCGGGGGAUCGCAAGACCUCGCGCGAUUGGAGCGGCCGAUAUCAGAUUAGGUAGUUGGUGGGGUAAAGGCUCACCAAGCCAACGAUCUGUAGCUGGUCUGAGAGGACGACCAGCCACACUGGAACUGAGACACGGUCCAGACUCCUACGGGAGGCAGCAGUGGGGAAUUUUGGACAAUGGACGCAAGUCUGAUCCAGCCAUUCCGCGUGCAGGACGAAGGCCUUCGGGUUGUAAACUGCUUUUGUACGGAACGAAAAAGCUCUUAUUAAUACUAGGAGUCCAUGACGGUACCGUAAGAAUAAGCACCGGCUAACUACGUGCCAGCAGCCGCGGUAAUACGUAGGGUGCAAGCGUUAAUCGGAAUUACUGGGCGUAAAGCGUGCGCAGGCGGUUAUAUAAGACAGAUGUGAAAUCCCCGAGCUUAACUUGGGAACUGCAUUUGUGACUGUAUAGCUAGAGUACGGCAGAGGGGGAUGGAAUUCCGCGUGUAGCAGUGAAAUGCGUAGAUAUGCGGAGGAACACCGAUGGCGAAGGCAAUCCCCUGGGCCUGUACUGACGCUCAUGCACGAAAGCGUGGGGAGCAAACAGGAUUAGAUACCCUGGUAGUCCACGCCCUAAACGAUGUCAACUGGUUGUUGGGUCUUCACUGACUCAGUAACGAAGCUAACGCGUGAAGUUGACCGCCUGGGAGUACGGCCGCAAGGUUGAA